UCCAAACCUGCCAAAGAAACACAGACAUUAUAGGAAAUAUAACUCAACCUGAUCUUUGACUAAUUUUGUCUUAAUUGUGAUGAUGGGUCUUUCAGGAGAACAUCACUACAUCGCAAUAACAACAAGGCUCCUUGGAAAGCAUGCCACCAACCUAACAUUUACUACUCUCCAGACAAAUUGUGGACAAAUUGAGAGCCACCAAUCCCCCAGACCAUACAGAGAACACAUCAGACAUGGACUGGACCUCUCAGCUCCAACAGCUUCAACAGUUACAAGAGCUGGAGGAUCAAGUUCAGCCAUGCAGAACUCUAUAAUUCAUUACUUUAACAUAAUUUACAUUAAGGUUUCUUUAACUGACAUUGCUUAGGACAUAAGUUAACAUGAACAAACCAUCUACUUCAGCAUGAAUACACCAUCAUUAACAUUAGCAAAGUAACUAACCCUUGUAUUAAUUGAUGCCUUCAUAAUAAAACAAAUAACCCACAUGAUCAACAUCUGUAUUCACCAAUGAGUAAAAUGAAUCCCAUAAUUAAAACUUGAAUCAGUGACUUAAUGAAACAUUUUUGUUUUUUAACUGGCAAAAUUCAGAACUGAGGCUGAAGCCCCAAUAUCUAUAUCUAGUGACCAGAGUUCAGUAAGUUAUCAACAUAUAGGAGCUAAUUUACUUACUUUAUUAUUUUGUUAACCUUACAUACAGUUCUAUUUUUGUGCAUUAUCAUGAUACAAAGCGGUAAAGUGAGAAAUACACUCUCUCCAAUGGGCAAUAGACAAACUCAGUUAUAUAACCACACAGCAUGGCCAUUUAGCUCAGUCACAGACCACACUGUUUUUCCAGUGAAUAGGUAAAGAACACAAAUACCUAGAGGUACAGGACAUUGCAUUUCAAA
Molecule: long non-coding RNA, 887 nt
Organism: Ictalurus punctatus (channel catfish)
Lineage: Eukaryota; Metazoa; Chordata; Actinopteri; Siluriformes; Ictaluridae
Exons: 3
Source: RefSeq, a predicted model, not a curated record